Non-coding RNA from Drosophila melanogaster (fruit fly), 26 nucleotides. NCBI's taxonomy places the organism in Eukaryota, Metazoa, Arthropoda, Insecta, Diptera, Drosophilidae. The record is from Ensembl.
UAAAUAUUUAAGUGGAGCCUGCGACU